UAGUUGCUGGGUAUAGACCCGAAACCGGGUGAUCUAUCCAUGAGCAGGUUGAAGGUUGGGUAACACUAACUGGAGGACCGAACCCACUGUCGUUGAAAAGCCAGGGGAUGACUUGUGGAUAGGGGUGAAAGGCUAAUCAAACUCGGUGAUAGCUGGUUCUCCCCGAAAGCUAUUUAGGUAGCGCCUCGGACGAAUACCAUUGGGGGUAGAGCACUGUUUCGGCUAGGGGGUCAUCCCGACUUACCAAACCGAUGCAAACUCCGAAUACCAAUGAGUACUAUCCGGGAGACAGACUGCGGGUGCUAACGUCCGUAGUCAAGAGGAAAACAAUCCAGACCGCCAGCUAAGGUCCCAAAAUCUAUAUUAAGUGGGAAACGAUGUGGGAAGGCAUAGACAGCUAGGAGGUUGGCUUAGAAGCAGCCACCCUUUAAAGAAAGCGUAAUAGCUCACUAGUCGAGUCGGCCUGCGCGGAAGAUGUAACGGGGCUAAAAUAUAGUACCGAAGCUGCGGAUGUAUACUAUGUAUACGUGGUAGGGGAGCGUUCUGUAAGCCGAUGAAGGUGGAUUGAGAAGUCUGCUGGAGGUAUCAGAAGUGCGAAUGCUGACGUGAGUAACGACAAAACGGGUGAAAAACCCGUUCGCUGAAAGACCAAGGGUUCCAGUCCAACGUUAAUCGGGGCUGGGUGAGUCGACCCCUAAGGCGAGGCCGAGAGGCGUAGUCGAUGGGAAAUUGGUUAAUAUUCCAAUACUUCUGUGUAAUGCGAUGAGAGGACGGAGAAGGUUAAGUCAGCCUGGCGUUGGUUGUCCAGGUGAAAGGUUGUAGGCAUGUAUCUUAGGCAAAUCCGGGGUACUCUAUGCUGAGAACUGAUAGCAAGCUGUACUUGUACAGUAAAGUGGCUGAUACCAUACUUCCAAGAAAAGUCUCUAAGCUUCAGUUACACAGGAAUCGUACCCGAAACCGACACAGGUGGUCAGGUCGAGUAGACCAAAGCGCUUGAGAGAACUCUGCUGAAGGAACUAGGCAAAAUGGUACCGUAACUUCGGGAGAAGGUACGCUGCCGGUGGUGAUAGAACUUGCUUCUUGAGCUGCUGGCAGCCACAGAAACUAGGCCCCUGCAACUGUUUAUUAAAAACAUAGCACUCUGCAAACACGAAAGUGGACGUAUAGGGUGUGAUGCCUGCCCGGUGCUGGAAGGUUAAUUGAUGGGGUUAGCGUAAGCGAAGCUCUUGAUCGAAGCCCCAGUAAACGGCGGCCGUAACGAUAACGGUCCUAAGGUAGCGAAAUUCCUUGUCGGGUAAGUUCCGACCUGCACGAAUGGCAUAAUGAUGGGGGCGCUGUCUCCAGCAGAGACUCAGUGAAAUCGAAUUCGCCGUGAAGAUGCGGUGUACCCGCGGCUAGACGGAAAGACCCCGUGAACCUUUACUGCAGCUUGACAUUGAACUUUGAUCUUACUUGUGUAGGAUAGGUGGGAGGCUUUGAAACCGAGACGCUAGUUUCGGUGGAGCCAAUCUUGAAAUACCACCCUGGUAAUAUUGAGGUUCUAACUCUGCUCCAUGAUCUGGAGCGAGGACCAUGUCUGGUGGGUAGUUUGACUGGGGCGGUCUCCUCCUAAAGAGUAACGGAGGAGUACGAAGGUGCGCUCAGCGUGGUCGGAAAUCACGCGUAGAGUAUAAAGGCAAAAGCGCGCUUAACUGCGAGACCCACAAGUCGAGCAGGUACGAAAGUAGGUCUUAGUGAUCCGGUGGUUCUGUAUGGAAGGGCCAUCGCUCAACGGAUAAAAGGUACUCUGGGGAUAACAGGCUGAUACCGCCCAAGAGUUCAUAUCGACGGCGGUGUUUGGCACCUCGAUGUCGGCUCAUCUCAUCCUGGGGCUGAAGCAGGUCCCAAGGGUAUGGCUGUUCGCCAUUUAAAGAGGUACGCGAGCUGGGUUUAGAACGUCGUGAGACAGUUCGGUCCCUAUCUACCGUGGGCGCUGGAAAUUUGAGAGGAUCUGCUCCUAGUACGAGAGGACCAGAGUGGACGAACCUCUGGUGUACCGGUUGUGACGCCAGUCGCAUCGCCGGGUAGCUAUGUUCGGAAGGGAUAACCGCUGAAAGCAUCUAAGCGGGAAGCCUACCUCAAGAUAAGAUUUCCCCGAGGCUUUAUGCCUCCUAAAGAGCCGUUCAAGACUAGGACGUUGA
This 2180-nucleotide ribosomal RNA is filed under the name gut metagenome. RNAcentral's name for it is "bacterial LSU rRNA". It matches the Rfam family "Bacterial large subunit ribosomal RNA", at positions 697 to 2856 of the family's 2925-position model. The record is from RNAcentral.